Molecule: ribosomal RNA, 253 nt
Filed under: uncultured bacterium
Lineage: Bacteria
Description: partial 16S ribosomal RNA
Rfam family: Bacterial small subunit ribosomal RNA
Source: RNAcentral
UACGUAAGGGGCUAGCGUUGUCCGGAUUUAUUGGGCGUAAAGAGCGUGUAGGCGGCCAGGUAGGUCUGGUGUGAAAACUCGAGGCUUAACCUCGAGAUGUCAUCGGAAACCAUUUGGCUAGAGUCCGGAAGAGGAGAGUGGAAUUCCUGGUGUAGCGGUGAAAUGCGCAGAUAUCAGGAAGAACACCGAUGGCGAAAGCAGCUCUCUGGGACGGUACUGACGCUGAGACGCGAAAGCGUGGGGAGCGAACAGG